This 206-nucleotide long non-coding RNA is filed under the name Lathyrus oleraceus (garden pea). RNAcentral describes it as "Pisum sativum (pea) long non-coding RNA (PSAT_LNC032192)". Lineage: Eukaryota; Viridiplantae; Streptophyta; Magnoliopsida; Fabales; Fabaceae. The record is from RNAcentral.
GACGUUAUAAUCGGACGAGUCAUUAGUUUUUUGUCUGUCCAAUGUAACCAAUUAUUGCAUAUUUAAUAAAAAAAAUUCAUUAUUAUUUCUUAUGUAUUAAAUAAUAAAUAUUAAAUGUUAAAAAUAAAAAAAUGUUAAAAAAAUAUUUCUUAGUUCUUAUGUAUUAAAUAAUAAAUAUUUCUUAGUUCUUAUGUAUUAAAUAAAAA